Molecule: ribosomal RNA, 820 nt
Filed under: Oceanobacillus kimchii
Lineage: Bacteria; Bacillati; Bacillota; Bacilli; Caryophanales; Bacillaceae
Description: bacterial SSU rRNA
Rfam family: Bacterial small subunit ribosomal RNA
Source: RNAcentral
UAUCUGAUCCUCUUUUAGAGGUGACGAUAAUGGAAUGAGCGGCGGACGGGUGAGUAACACGUAGGCAACCUGCCUGUAAGACUGGGAUAACUCGUGGAAACGCGAGCUAAUACCGGAUAACACUUUUCAUCUCCUGAUGAGAAGUUGAAAGGCGGCUUUUGCUGUCACUUACAGAUGGGCCUGCGGCGCAUUAGCUAGUUGGUAAGGUAAUGGCUUACCAAGGCGACGAUGCGUAGCCGACCUGAGAGGGUGAUCGGCCACACUGGGACUGAGACACGGCCCAGACUCCUACGGGAGGCAGCAGUAGGGAAUCUUCCGCAAUGGACGAAAGUCUGACGGAGCAACGCCGCGUGAGUGAUGAAGGUUUUCGGAUCGUAAAACUCUGUUGUUAGGGAAGAACAAGUGCCAUAGUAACUGAUGGCACCUUGACGGUACCUAACCAGAAAGCCACGGCUAACUACGUGCCAGCAGCCGCGGUAAUACGUAGGUGGCAAGCGUUGUCCGGAAUUAUUGGGCGUAAAGCGCUCGCAGGCGGUUCUUUAAGUCUGAUGUGAAAUCUUACGGCUCAACCGUAAACGUGCAUUGGAAACUGGGGAACUUGAGUGCAGAAGAGGAGAGUGGAAUUCCACGUGUAGCGGUGAAAUGCGUAGAGAUGUGGAGGAACACCAGUGGCGAAGGCGACUCUCUGGUCUGUAACUGACGCUGAGGAGCGAAAGCGUGGGGAGCGAACAGGAUUAGAUACCCUGGUAGUCCACGCCGUAAACGAUGAGUGCUAGGUGUUAGGGGGUUUCCGCCCCUUAGUGCUGAAGUUAACGCAUUA